Molecule: ribosomal RNA, 304 nt
Filed under: uncultured bacterium
Lineage: Bacteria
Description: partial 16S ribosomal RNA
Rfam family: Bacterial small subunit ribosomal RNA
Source: RNAcentral
CAGCAGCAGCCACGGUAAUACGUAGGGUGCGAGCGUUAAUCGGAAUUACUGGGCGUAAAGCGUGCGCAGGCGGUUCGUUAAGACAGAUGUGAAAUCCCCGGGCUUAACCUGGGAACUGCAUUUGUGACUGGCGAGCUAGAGUAUGGCAGAGGGGGGUAGAAUUCCACGUGUAGCAGUGAAAUGCGUAGAUAUUCGGAAGAACACCAGUGGCGAAGGCGGCUCACUGGCUCAUACUGGACGCUGAGGUGCGAAAGCGUGGGGAGCAAACAGGAUUAGAUACCCCGGUAGUCCCUGUCUCUUAUAC